This 435-nucleotide ribosomal RNA is filed under the name uncultured bacterium. RNAcentral describes it as "partial 16S ribosomal RNA". It matches the Rfam family "Bacterial small subunit ribosomal RNA", at positions 28 to 507 of the family's 1533-position model. The record is from RNAcentral.
GAUGAACGCUGGCGGUAUGCUUAACACAUGCAAGUCGAACGGACUCUUCGGAGUUAGUGGCGGACGGGUGAGUAACGCGUGAGAAUCUGGCUUUGGGUUCGGGACAACCACUGGAAACGGUGGCUCAUACCGGAUGUGCCGAGAGGUAAAAGAGAAAUUGCCUGAAGAUGAGCUCGCGUCUGAUUAGCUAGUUGGUGAGGUAAAGGCUCACCAAGGCAGCGAUCAGUAGCUGGUCUGAGAGGAUGACCAGCCACACUGGGACUGAGACACGGCCCAGACUCCUACGAGAGGCAGCAGUGGGGAAUUGUCCGCAAUGGGCGAAAGCCUGACGGAGCAAUACCGCGUGAGGGAAGAAGGCUCUUGGGUUGUAAACCUCUUUUCUUAGGGAAGAACAAAAUGACGGUACCUAAGGAAGCAGCAUCGGCUAACUCCGUG